GCAAGGAAUUUUCGUCAAUGGGCGAAAGCCUGAACGAGCAACGCCGCGUGCAGGAAGACGGCCUUCGGGUUGUAAACUGCUUUUGGGGGGGACGAUCAUGACGGUACCCUCCGAAUAAGCCCCGGCUAACUCUGUGCCAGCAGCCGCGGUAAUACAGAGGGGGCAAGCGUUGUCCGGAAUGACUGGGCGUAAAGCGCACGCAGGUGGCAGUGUAAGUGGUGUGUGAAAGCGGCCCGCUUAACGGGCUGAGGCCAUGCCAGACUGCACAGCUAGAGCCUUGCAGAGGUCGAUGGAAUUGCCGGUGUAGUGGUGAAAUGCGUAGAGAUCGGCAGGAACACCAAGGGGGAAACCAGUCGACUGGGCAAGCGCUGACACUCAUGUGCGAAAGCGUGGGGAGCGAACCGGAUUAGAAACCCGUGUAGUCC
Molecule: ribosomal RNA, 425 nt
Filed under: uncultured bacterium
Lineage: Bacteria
Description: bacterial SSU rRNA
Rfam family: Bacterial small subunit ribosomal RNA
Source: RNAcentral